Molecule: ribosomal RNA, 217 nt
Filed under: Cyanobacteria bacterium UBA11049
Lineage: Bacteria; Bacillati; Cyanobacteriota
Description: partial 23S ribosomal RNA
Rfam family: Bacterial large subunit ribosomal RNA
Source: RNAcentral
CGUGUCCCGGCUGUGCCGCCAGGUGCAGCGCCGGGUAGCGAUGAUCGGCAAGGAUAACCGCUGAAAGCAUCUAAGUGGGAAGCCCACCUCAAGAUGAGUACUCUCAUGGCUAAUAGCCAGUAAGGUCACGUGGAGAACACACGUUGAUAGGCGUGAGGUGGAAGUGCAGUAAUGUAUGUAGCCCAAGCGUACUAAUAGACCGAGGGCUUGACCUCAA